AUUGAACGCUGGCGGCAUGCUUUACACAUGCAAGUCGAACGGUAACAGGGAGCUUGCUCCGCUGCCGAGUGGCGAACGGGUGAGUAAUAUAUCGGAACGUACCCAAGAGUGGGGGAAAACGAAGCGAAAGUUACGCUAAUACCGCAUACGACCUAAGGAGGAAAGCAGGGGACCUCCGGGCCUUGUUCUCCUGGAGCGUCCGAUAUCUGAUUAGCUAGUUGGUAAGGUAAAGGCUCACCAAGGCGACGACCAGUAGCUGGUCUGAGAGGACGACCAGCCACACUGGAACUGAGACACGGUCCAGACUCCUACGGGAGGCAGCAGUGGGGAAUUUUGGACAAUGGGCGCAAGCUUGAUCCAGCAAUGCCGCGUGAGUGAAGAAGGCCUUCGGGUUGUAAAGCUCUUUUGUCAGGGAAGAAACGGGAUUGGCUAAUAUCCAGUCCUAAUGACGGUACCUGAAGAAUAAGCACCGGCUAACUACGUG
RNAcentral lists this ribosomal RNA (484 nucleotides) under uncultured bacterium. RNAcentral describes it as "partial 16S ribosomal RNA". It matches the Rfam family "Bacterial small subunit ribosomal RNA", at positions 30 to 507 of the family's 1533-position model. The record is from RNAcentral.